GCCACUGUGGUGGAAUUGGCAGACGCAAGGGACUUAAAAUCCCUCGAACAUUACGUUCGUAUCGGUUCGAGCCCGAUCAGUGGCACCA
Molecule: transfer RNA, 88 nt
Filed under: Christensenellaceae bacterium
Lineage: Bacteria; Bacillati; Bacillota; Clostridia; Christensenellales; Christensenellaceae
Description: tRNA-Leu
Rfam family: tRNA
About the family: Transfer RNA (tRNA) molecules are approximately 80 nucleotides in length. Their secondary structure includes four short double-helical elements and three loops (D, anti-codon, and T loops). Further hydrogen bonds mediate the characteristic L-shaped molecular structure. tRNAs have two regions of fundamental functional importance: the anti-codon, which is responsible for specific mRNA codon recognition, and the 3' end, to which the tRNAs corresponding amino acid is attached (by aminoacyl-tRNA synthetases). tRNAs cope with the degeneracy of the genetic code in two manners: having more than one tRNA (with a specific anti-codon) for a particular amino acid; and 'wobble' base-pairing, i.e. permitting non-standard base-pairing at the 3rd anti-codon position.
Source: RNAcentral